CUCAGGUGAUGGAAGUUUCUUAUAAUACGCAGUAGCAGAGGUACUUUGAUCAGCUUCGUCUGCUAUGUCCAUGGAGGUGUUCUACUCUUUUUGCUUGGUUUAACUCCUUUUCUCUUUUCUAUUAAUAUAUUUAGUUCAUAGCUUACUCUAUCUGUAUUCAUACCCUCCAUGCUUUUUAGCUGAGUAGUUUGUUCGUUACGCAUCACCACAUAUACCUAUCUAAGGAUAUAUGUACAAACAGUAUAUAUCUGUGCAUACGCCUAGAUUUUCCUCUGUCUAUCUUUGUUUCUCCCUUCGUCAACGCUUAUAAAAAAUAUGAGCUACUCCAAACUAAGCGUAAAGGAUGAUCCUGAUAAACUUCGUGAGAAAAGGGACGAGCGCAAUCGUAAAAAGAGAGAAAAUUUGCUGCUCUAUCUGUCGAAGAGAGAGAAGCUCAGCGGAAAAAGAGCAGAGAAGCUUAUCACAGGAAAAAAUUGGAAAAAAUAGUUUCCAAGUCCUUCCCACAACAAUUUGAAGAGGCUUGUAAAUCACCAGCUUCUACAUCUGUUAUACAUAGCCUUCCUGGUCAACAAUGUUCUCAUGGUUUCAAUGAUAAACUCAGCCAGCCCAUUGCUUCUCAAAUUUCCAAACACAACCACAAUGUUCAUGGAAUUAUUGGUUGUAAUCAAGCUCAUUCAUGGAACGAAGUCUCAUGCUCUCAUUUUACAAAACACUUUAUAGGUGCCUCAAAAGCUGGUAUUCGAAUUUCUCCCUCUUCAAACAACAAUACUCAAUUAUCUUGUGCUAAGUUGGGUAAAAAAUUAAAGCAACCGAUUUCUUCAUUCUCAAGCUAUGAGAAAGGAUCUUCUUCUAACUCUGUUACACAACACACAUGUGUAGCUAUUGACAUGAUACAAAAUGCAGAUAAAUCAUUCAUAUGCAUGAACUGCUACAAAUUCCUGACAGAAAUAGCUGAAGAAACU
Molecule: non-coding RNA, 962 nt
Organism: Coffea arabica (coffee)
Lineage: Eukaryota; Viridiplantae; Streptophyta; Magnoliopsida; Gentianales; Rubiaceae
Source: RefSeq, a predicted model, not a curated record